CUUGUUAGUUAUAUGGCCUUGGACAGAGCACCUCCCUCCCCACAGUGCUUCAGCGUCUUUCUCUGCAAAACAGGUUCACUGAAUAAGAAUAUUUACCUAGUGCUCACAGGCCUCCCUCCAGCACAGCCCUGCAAGCUCUUAAAAAGCUCUGACAUAUCUCGACCAUGAGACCACGGCUGGCCCUUAGCAGGAAGGGGCUGAUGUUGACGUUCCCAGCCCAGCAGGCCGGACCUGGCGGGCAGGUGGCCCACCGAACACAUGAACGAUUGCUUCUCUGGACAGGGCCACGUUUUCACAGGACAGGCUUGAGUUUGAGCUGAAACAGCUGAGAGAGAGACUUCUCAAGAAAUGGAUGGGUGGUGAGUUUGCAGCAGGGUAUCUUAAACAUCUGUGGGCAUAUAGAGAGAGCCUUCCAG
This 416-nucleotide long non-coding RNA is filed under the name Bos taurus (domestic cattle). Its description in RNAcentral is "long non-coding RNA NONBTAT018982". The record is from RNAcentral. Lineage: Eukaryota; Metazoa; Chordata; Mammalia; Artiodactyla; Bovidae.